This 465-nucleotide ribosomal RNA is filed under the name uncultured bacterium. RNAcentral's name for it is "partial 16S ribosomal RNA". It matches the Rfam family "Bacterial small subunit ribosomal RNA", at positions 28 to 507 of the family's 1533-position model. The record is from RNAcentral.
GACGAACGCUGGCGGCGUGCUUAACACAUGCAAGUCGAACGGAAAGGCCCCGUUUGUGGUGCUCGAGUGGCGAACGGGUGGGUAACAAGUGAGUAACCUGCCUGUGCCUGCGGGAGAACUACAGUAAACUGGCGCUAAUACCUGAUAGGAAUGCUUUCUGCAUGGUUGGUGGUGGAAAGCAUGGGCGGUUGUGGAUGGAUGCGCGGCUUAUUAGCUUGUUGGUGGGGUAGUGGCUUACCAAGGCUUUGACUGGUAGGCGGCCCGAGAGGGCGACCGGCCACAUUGGGACUGAGAAUCGGCCCAGAACCCUACCGGGAGGAGGAGUGGGGAAAAUUGGCCAAAGGGGGGAAGCCUGAUGCAACCAACCCGCGUGCGGGAUGACGGCCUUCCGGUUGUAAACCGCUUUCAGCAGGGGAGAAGCUUGUGGUGACGGUACCUGCAGAAGAAGCACCGGCUAACUACGUG